GACGAACGCUGGCGGCGUGCGUAACACAUGCAAGUCGAACGGAAAGGCCCUGCUUUUGUGGGGUGCUCGAGUGGCGAACGGGUGAGUAACACGUGAGUAACCUGCCCUUGACUUUGGGAUAACUUCAGGAAACUGGGGCUAAUACCGGAUAGGAGCUCCUGCUGCAUGGUGGGGGUUGGAAAGUUUCGGCGGUUGGGGAUGGACUCGCGGCUUAUCAGCUUGUUGGUGGGGUAGUGGCUUACCAAGGCUUUGACGGGUAGCCGGCCUGAGAGGGUGACCGGCCACAUUGGGACUGAGAUACGGCCCAGACUCCUACGGGAGGCAGCAGUGGGGAAUAUUGCACAAUGGGCGGAAGCCUGAUGCAGCAACGCCGCGUGCGGGAUGACGGCCCUCGGGUUGUAAACCGCUUUCGCCUGUGACGAAGCGUGAGUGACGGUAAUGGGUAAAGAAGCACCGGCUAACUACGUG
RNAcentral lists this ribosomal RNA (468 nucleotides) under uncultured bacterium. Its description in RNAcentral is "partial 16S ribosomal RNA". It matches the Rfam family "Bacterial small subunit ribosomal RNA", at positions 28 to 507 of the family's 1533-position model. The record is from RNAcentral.